RNAcentral lists this ribosomal RNA (617 nucleotides) under uncultured bacterium. Its description in RNAcentral is "bacterial SSU rRNA". It matches the Rfam family "Bacterial small subunit ribosomal RNA", at positions 43 to 705 of the family's 1533-position model. The record is from RNAcentral.
CACGCCUAACACAUGCAAGUCGAACGAAGUAGCAAUACUUAGUGGCAGACGGGUGAGUAACAUGUAGGUAUCUGCCCUUUGGCCUGGAAUAACACGAGGAAACUUGUGCUAAUACCGGAUAAGUCUUCACGGAGAAAGCUUUAUGCACCAUUGGAUGAGCCUGCACUUGAUUAGUUUGUUGGUGGGGUAAUGGCCCACCAAGACUUUGAUCAAUAGCUGAUUUGAGAGGAUGAUCAGCCACAUUGGGACUGAGACACGGCCCAAACUCCUACGGGAGGCAGCAGUGGGGAAUCUUGCACAAUGGAGGAAACUCUGAUGCAGCGAUGCCGCGUGAGUGAAGAAGGCCCUUGGGUUGUAAAGCUCUUUCGUCGGGGAAGAAAAUGACUGUACCCGAAUAAGAAGGUCCGGCUAACUUCGUGCCAGCAGCCGCGGUAAUACGAAGGGACCUAGCGUAGUUCGGAAUUACUGGGCUUAAAGAGUUCGUAGGUGGUUGAAAAAGUUGGUGGUGAAAUCCCAGAGCUUAACUCUGGAACUGCCAUCAAAACCUUUCAGCUAGAGUUUGAUAGAGGAAAGCAGAAUUUCUAGUGUAGAGGUGAAAUUCGUAGAUAUUAGAAAGA